Molecule: ribosomal RNA, 234 nt
Filed under: uncultured Actinomycetales bacterium
Lineage: Bacteria; Bacillati; Actinomycetota; Actinomycetes; Actinomycetales
Description: partial 16S ribosomal RNA
Rfam family: Bacterial small subunit ribosomal RNA
Source: RNAcentral
UGGCAACGGGUGAGUAACACGUGGGUGAUCUGCCCUGCACUCUGGGAUAAGCCUGGGAAACUGGGUCUAAUACCGGAUAGGACCAUGCUUUAGUGUGUGUGGUGGAAAGUUUUUUCGGUGUAGGAUGAGCCCGCGGCCUAUCAGCUUGUUGGUGGGGUAAUGGCCUACCAAGGCGGCGACGGGUAGCCGGCCUGAGAGGGUGUACGGCCACAUUGGGACUGAGAUACGGCCCAG